Long non-coding RNA from Canis lupus familiaris (dog), 4574 nucleotides. RefSeq lists it as uncharacterized. NCBI's taxonomy places the organism in Eukaryota, Metazoa, Chordata, Mammalia, Carnivora, Canidae. The record is from RefSeq and is a predicted model, not a curated record. The transcript is spliced from 4 exons.
GGAGCUGCGGCUGGGGGCUCACGGGGCCCGGAGGGUCACUCAGAGACAAGGCUGUGUCGUCCUCGAGAGGUGGCCUGGUCCAUCCUGUCAAUCAGGGUCCCCAGAGCAUCCAGCCGGAGACCCUUUCCUGAGGAGACCAUGGACAGAGGCUGUACUCCAUUGUCAACAUCCCGGCAACACAUUCCCUUAAAGUUCUGAAGAGGUGUCAUUCUUGAGAUGUAGUGCACAGUGUGAACCCUGCGGCCAAACCGCCCGGAUUUGUAUGCCAGCCUUCCACGUAGCAUCUGAGUGAGCUUGGGCAAGACACUAGACUCUUCUGUGCCUCAGUUUCCUUAUCUGUACAAUGAACUGACCUUGAAGGCAGCUGAUGGAUUCUCUACAUGAGGGGAUGGCAGCCGUUAGCCACCCCAGAGCGAAGGUAGAGAGCAUCAAACCCGAUGCCCCCAGUGUGCACACCCGAGGGGGUCUCCUCCGUGCCCGAGGAUGCCGGUGAGCUACAGCUGUGUGCAAGAGGCAAGCGGAGGACGGGGCUAGAGAUGUGGGAACAAUGAUCUGAAGGCUGAUUUUUAAUGUCGGGAAACAAUCACAGUCUCAUAUGCUGGAGAAUUUCUGCCAACUGUCAUACUUUGAAAGGAGACAGAUUGUGGAAGCGCGUGCGAGAUUGGCAACUGGUAACAUAUAACCCAAGUGGUCCCAUUUCCAUAUCUGCAGCAAGUAAGGCCCCCUCAAUGUAUUUCAGUAUUUAACAAAAAAAUUAAACUCCUUUGAAUAAAGAAAGAAAUGCUCCCUCUUAGAUAUAGCUCAACCCCAAAUAUUUCCCAUGAUUGAAAAAGCAAAAGGACUGGAAUUUCAUAAUGCAGGCACAUGUGAACGAAACUUCAGUAAAUUAUUCAGCUACGUUUCCGACACUCUCCUGAAUGUUCAGAUAGUGGAUUCCAAACACUGACUACUUACUACCAGAAUUCCAUUAAAAAAAAAAAAUCUGGGUAGCUGCCAGCCUUUCAAAACUUCUGAAUUCUGACAACAUUUGAAACUGGACUGAGUUCUAGGUUCUUGGGAUAUCAGGAAGCCCUCACUAGAGGUUUGGAAAACAGGGUCUUGUAGGAACAGGGAAAAGCAAAUGGAUCUAUCUAAGCUGAAACACAACGAUGGCCUGACUUUAAUCAGCAAGUCAGUACCGUAGAAGGAAUGGAAAGCCUGAGUUAUGAUGCAACCACUGCCCAAGACGAGCUGUGUGGCCUGAGGUAACCUGCUCACCCUUUCUGGGUCUGUUUUCUUCUUCACAAAAUGGGGAUAAAAAAUAUGUGCUCAGAGAAUUGUUUGGAGGAUUAUCAACAGAUGCCGUGUAUUGUAAAGCACUCACUGCGGGUUAGGGUUGCUACCAAUGUUAGCUAGCACGUCCUCCUCCUUAUCCUCUGAAAUGUCCUAACCAGACUUUACCCCUUUCCAUUCAGUUCAACAAAUGUCAAAUUCUGCAGAAGAUGCAAAACUAAGGCCCUACUCUCAAGGCUGUUUGGCUAACCUUCCCCCCCCCCCCCCCACAAAAAACCCAAAAGCCCUGUGUUUGGGGGGAAUGGAGUCUUUUCUCAAAUGUGGAAAGAGCAUCUGAAAUUUCUGUCAUGUGGGCCUCCCUAAAACAGCCUCUGAAAGCCAUACACCUGAUGGCACUGAAGGAAACACAAACGUGGGAACCGACUCCAUGGUAGACGAGACUUCUAAGAAGGUGAUUUACACUAUGAGCGGUUUGCUGGGAUCCCUCCAGCAAAGCCUAUUGGUGGACACAGGCUCGUCGUCCAUCACUGGAAGACUAUUCCCUCAUAGUGAAGGAAAAGUGAUCACCCAACUUGGCGACAACAAAAUAUCCUGUUCACUCAUAAGAAACUAAGGAAGGUCAGGAAGAUGCAGGGAGGCACUGGAGGGAGGUUGGUGGGAGCCCACAGAGAUGGGCGAGAACCCCAGGGUAAAGAGAGUAAUAAAUCCCUUGAAUGGAGUGGGUUUUGAUUUGGGAGCAAUGGAAAAGCCUGAAGGAGCAUGAGAGGGAUGAAUCACAAGGAUCAGAGGAGGUCAGGCUGUGAGAGAACAGGACAUAAGGACUAAGCUGAGCAGAGUUCAGACAGAAGGCUGGACUGAGUUCUAGGUUCUUGGGAUAUCAGGAAGCCCUCACUAGAGGUGAGGGUGGAAAUGCGCCAGUUUUUGGCCAUCAAGGUGCCUGGUGUGUGCUUGGGGGGCAAUGCAAGGGGGGCCAGCUGGAGGCCGUCUGACGGGGUUGAUGGCUUAGGCCUGGGAAUACAUAGCCUGUGAAAACCUUAUGGGUACUCAGCUGUGUCAGGCUAAACUGAGGAAUGAGGGUGUAUACAUACAAUUUAUGUACCUGUUUGAACCCAAAGCUUGCAAAUAAAUUUAGCUCCUGGCCAACAGCCUGAGCACGUGUGUUGGGCUGGAGGACUGCCACGGAGGACAACCAGAGUGGAAAUUGAGAACAGAUGACAUCCUGUGCGAUCACUCUUUGGAGGAAAGCCACCACCCACCCACCACCACCAUCCACUCUGCCACUCAGCACCCACCCACCCAGGCCCCGGGGAGCUGUUAGCAGGCCAGGGUUCUCAGGACAGAGCUUUGCUUCCCUCCCAGGCUGCUCUGUCUUUUUCUGAGGUCACAUUUACCGACUGUGUGAACGUGGGCAAAUCAAUUUCUCUGCAGCUUCAGUUUCCUCCCUGAAAAAAUGGAAAUGAUAAAACUGUCUACCUCAUAAGGAUUAAAUAACUCAAUAUCUAUGUAAAACACUUGGAGCUCAGCGUGACAGUAUGUACUCAGUGGAGGUGGGCUGCCAUUAUCGGUACCAUCACAAUGGCCAAAGAAAGCCUUUGGACACACUGCUCACUCCACAGUCGAUUGGUGCCCACCUUCCAUGCGUUCAUGCGAAGGAUACAAAGAUAACACACAACUCUGUGCUCCAGGAGUUUCCCAAUAUUCGCAUUUUAAACUGGAGUUUUAAAUAAUUUAACCCCAAAAUGGCAGAGAACUUUGAGAGUAUCUUGCACCUUGGUGAAGCCACAGAAUGUUCUGUGCAAGAAGACUUUUGGGCAACUGUUGCUUCUUCAUCCCUCAAAUGCCAGGAAUUUCACUUUACCCUCCCGACAACCUGAGAUAGGAGCUAUUACUGCUACCCCUGUUUUAUAGACAGGAGGAAAAAAGUAUAUUGCUGUUAGUUAUACAACUAACAGUUUCACGAUUAAUAAGGACGGAGAUAGGACUCGAACCUAUAAUCUAACUCCAGAGAUCAAUCUGUAGACCCCGUGUGUUCUAAUGUCUCUGAGCGUAAUACGAUACGGAUGCCCAGGCAAGGAGAAGGUGGUAUAAGUUGCAGCAAGACUAAUUAAGGAAGGUAUUUCUGAGAGCACAGACUCAGAAGACAAAUGAGAGAGGGCCAGCUAGGGAAAAAGGUGACACUCCUCAUAAGUUUAAUGUUUCUGUCUGGAAGCGAGAAAUCAAUGAAAUAAUUUGUCAAGGUACAAUACUGACUGCAUACCCAUUGGACACAUGCCAUUUUGCCUCUCCAGGGCCUGGAUUUCAGAUGUUACUACCUCUGAUUAGCCCUGGAAAUCUUACAGCACCAGGACACCUUCUCAUCAAAUACGGAAGGAAUGACAUGCUCUCCCCUUACAACUCCCUGGGCAGCCCUGACCACGGGUUCUGGAAUCUGGAAAGUCCAAGAUCAAGGUCUUGUCCAUUUUGGUUCCUGGCCUGUGGACUGCCGUCAUCUCUCGAUGUGCUCCUUUGACCUCUUCUUUCUGCAUACAUGUGCAGAGAGAGAACAAGCAAGCUGUGUGUCUUCUUAUAAGGACACGAAUCCUAUCAUGAGGGUUCCACUCUCAUGACCUCUUCUCCAUCUAACUGCCACCCAGAGGACCCAUCUCCAGAUACCAUCUCAUUGAGGGUUAGGGGUUUAACAUGGGAAUGGGGCUGGUAACAUUCCUCACUGGGAGGUCUUAUACAGUGACUAUUUGAACCUUGCAAAGGGCAAAUUAUCUGUACUCUUUAUGCAAAGUUCAGAACUCUGGCUAAAAAAGCAUAUAACUACAGGCCUCAGCCACAGAAGUAAUUUUAGGAGAUGGGUACUGAUAGUAAAAAAGUCAAGCUCAGAGAAUUCUUCAAUAAUAAAUGGAAUGAAAUAUUGGUGAAAAUAGUUUUCCAAUAGCACACUCCUGUGGCAUGGCUACCUGGAAAUCUAGCCCUGACGUGCUCAUUUACUUUAUGAUUAUUGAAAAGCUUCAAACGACAAACGUAAGAGCUUCCAUUAUGUCACUCCAUGAAGUUUUCUUUUGAGAAGAAUAGGACCUGGGAAGGGGUCCUUCUAAAAUCUGUGGCCUGUGAUGUCUGCUAAAAGCUCCUGCUAUGCCUCACUUCAGGGCCAUUUCUAUCUUCCAUUUCUUCUUUCUAUCUUCUAUCUAGAUCAUAUCUUGUGGGCAAGUCUUCUCAUGAAACUAAGAUUCUACGCUAAGAAAUAGUUCUUUCCUCUUUCUCAAGUCCGCAUUCAUACCCUUGGGAGAGGGAUACCUGGGUGGCUCAGGGAU